CCUCGCUUAGCUCAGUUGGUAGAGCACCUGACUGUAGAUCAGGGUGUCCCCAGUUCAAGUCUGGGAGCGGGGACCA
Molecule: transfer RNA, 76 nt
Filed under: archaeon
Lineage: Archaea
Also listed under: 6 other names
Description: tRNA-Tyr
Rfam family: tRNA
About the family: Transfer RNA (tRNA) molecules are approximately 80 nucleotides in length.
Source: RNAcentral